AGUGAACGCUGGCGGUAGGCCUAACACAUGCAAGUCGAACGGCAGCACAGUAAGAGCUUGCUCUUACGGGUGGCGAGUGGCGGACGGGUGAGGAAUACAUCGGAAUCUACUUUUUCGUGGGGGAUAACGUAGGGAAACUUACGCUAAUACCGCAUACGACCUACGGGUGAAAGCAGGGGAUCUUCGGACCUUGCACGAUUGAAUGAGCCGAUGUCGGAUUAGCUAGUUGGCGGGGUAAAGGCCCACCAAGGCGACGAUCCGUAGCUGGUCUGAGAGGAUGAUCAGCCACACUGGAACUGAGACACGGUCCAGACUCCUACGGGAGGCAGCAGUGGGGAAUAUUGGACAAUGGGCGCAAGCCUGAUCCAGCCAUACCGCGUGGGUGAAGAAGGCCUUCGGGUUGUAAAGCCCAUUUGUUGGGAAAGAAAAGCAGCAGGUUAAUACCCCGCUGUUCUGACGGUACCCAAAGAAUAAGCACCGGCUAACUUCGUG
RNAcentral lists this ribosomal RNA (492 nucleotides) under uncultured bacterium. RNAcentral's name for it is "partial 16S ribosomal RNA". It matches the Rfam family "Bacterial small subunit ribosomal RNA", at positions 29 to 507 of the family's 1533-position model. The record is from RNAcentral.